This 395-nucleotide ribosomal RNA is filed under the name uncultured bacterium. RNAcentral describes it as "partial 16S ribosomal RNA". It matches the Rfam family "Bacterial small subunit ribosomal RNA", at positions 523 to 918 of the family's 1533-position model. The record is from RNAcentral.
AUACGUAGGGUGCAAGCGUUAAUCGGAAUUACUGGGCGUAAAGCGUGCGCAGGCGGUUUUGUAAGACAGUGGUGAAAUCCCCGGGCUCAACCUGGGAACUGCCAUUGUGACUGCAAGGCUGAAGUGCGGCAGAGGGGGAUGGAAUUCCGCGUGUAGCAGUGAAAUGCGUAGAUAUGCGGAGGAACACCGAUGGCGAAGGCAAUCCCCUGGGCCUGCACUGACGCUCAUGCACGAAAGCGUGGGGAGCAAACAGGAUUAGAUACCCUGGUAGUCCACGCCCUAAACGAUGUCAACUGGUUGUUGGGGAUUUAUUUUCUCAGUAACGAAGCUAACGCGUGAAGUUGACCGCCUGGGGAGUACGGCCGCAAGGUUAAAACUCAAAUGAAUUGACGGGG